GGUCACCAGAGGUUUCAUUUUUCCUUUGCUUUCAGAGUAUCCUGUCGUACAUCUGGUCUUGACAAUACAAAAAGGUGUAGCAUGGCCUGGGAUUUUGUUUUAAAGGCAGUACCUACUUGUAUAGUCCAGGGUGGCUUUGGGAGCCUAGGCUUGCCUGUGGCACACUGCCUGGUGGGGCCGUCAGCUGACGUCAGAGACAUCUAGAGAUGGUCUGACCUCUUCUGUCUGCAUCUUAGGAAUUUCUAAAUCUCAAUACCUAGGUGUUCUGAGAAGGCAGAUGUGAACUCAGACCCUUACACACCAUUUCCUCAGGGGGUUGCAGAUUUUAAUGGCAGGCACCAAGGCCUCAGUAGAAGCCAGGCAGAGUGUGUGUAAAGUGCUGACGGGGUGGCUAGUCCCAAGGGUACACCCUGCAAGAGGCAGCCAGCUCCCAUGUUCCAGGGUAUCGGUGUUCAGAUGGAUAACUUAUCUCCCGGCCAGUUUUGGCCUUGGGGCUUCAAAGCUUAUUUUCUGUGUUAGAGCAGAGGGGCAGCAGACUGUUCAUGAGUGAGAGUCUGGGGAGGGGCUUUAUCAUGGGUUCAAGGCUAUCUGUCCUCCAUGGCAGACUGCUUAUCUCACCCUUGCAAGGCUCUGGCCUGGAGUCACAGACUGGGGCCGGGGAGCUGGAGAAGUGGCUCAUCCGAUCAAGUGCCUCCUGUGCCAGCACGGAGACACGAGUUGGUCCCCAGAACCCGUGGAGAGAGCCGGAAGCUGGGCAGGUGUGCACUGUAGGAGGCAGGCAGACCCCUUCACGGCUGGCUGGCUCCACAAGCUGGAUUCAUACGCUAUGAGUUCACUGAGACCCAACUCAGUCAGGUGGACAGCAACAGAGGAGACUCCUACUUCAGCUCUGGGCCGCCACACCGUCUCACAUACAUGUGCACCCACAGGAACAUAAGUACACACGAUACAGAUGCCAAAUAAGAACAGAGGGUGGGGAGUCAGAGGCAGCUAGAGGAGACUGACAUUUCAUUAUCUGUAACGGGUUUUUGCUUGGGUUGGUUUUGAGAUGGUGGCUCAUUCAUUGUUGCGGCCUAGGAUGUCCUUGAGUGAUCUUCCUGCCUCCACCUCUUGAGUGUUGGAACUCUAGGCUUGAGCCACCACAUCUGGCAAUAAACCCCUAUUGGAAAAUAACUGCACUCAUUUGUUUACACACCUUCUGGCUGUUUAUGCUACAACAGCAGUUGAACAGUUGUGACAGAGACUGGAAGCCUACAAA
Molecule: non-coding RNA, 1258 nt
Organism: Peromyscus maniculatus bairdii (prairie deer mouse)
Lineage: Eukaryota; Metazoa; Chordata; Mammalia; Rodentia; Cricetidae
Source: RefSeq, a predicted model, not a curated record